This 2085-nucleotide long non-coding RNA is filed under the name Helianthus annuus (common sunflower). RNAcentral describes it as "hypothetical non coding rna". The record is from RNAcentral. Lineage: Eukaryota; Viridiplantae; Streptophyta; Magnoliopsida; Asterales; Asteraceae.
GUAAGGGUCACGACCCAUUUUGAUAUGUAUAGUUAGUGAUAUGAACUUAUAGAGAGCCUCAUCCCUUAUAGCAGAUUACCUAAAUCAUCAAAGGAGGUGAAAAUUUUCUACAUUGUGAUGCACAUUUCAUUACAAACCAUAUAUUCAUGAUUAAAAAUAUACCAACUCAUAGAACACAUCAUCUAAACUGGGUCCUUGUCCUUAAGCAAGUAUCUCAGUUUUAAUCCACCCUUAACCUCCAUUGUUCACAACCCUAGACCCACAACCAUUUCACAUUUCUACCAUUCCAAACUUACCUUUUCCAGUUGCAUUUGAUAGAGAAGCGUCACUUUCUUGACGCCCAGGUUCUAUCUAUAAGUUACAUAACAUUAGUACCAAAUAUUAAUUCACAUAAAUAUAGAUGUAUAAGUUUUUAGAGAGAUCAAGAGAGACGAAAAAACCAUGAAUCUGAUGAAAACAUCAACAUCAAACCUAUUACCAGAGAUAUUGAAGUUGUUGUUUACCUCUGGAUGGGCGCAUAGCAGCCACACCAAAAAGGUUGUAGGUCGGCCACGAUAGUUAUACACACCCGCCACUACAUCGACGAUCAGAAGCCUCCAUAGCCAUACGACGCUAUCGGCUUGUCACAACAAUACAUACCCAACAAUGUAUGACGAUGAUGAUUAUUGGCAAUGUGGGGAGAUGAAAUUUGGGUGAAGUCUCUGAAUGUAAACACAAUCAUGAUCUCAAACAAAGAUUCAUCAUCCAAACUAAAGCAAAAUCCACGCCAAAGAACCAAAGGAAAAUAAACGACCUACCUGCAAGCUACCGGUUCGAUAGAUGCGGCAGAGCAAGUAACAAAUUGGCGAUGGAAACAAUUUGCAGAUGAUGUUUGUAGAAGCUUUGCCGGACAACGAUUCAGUGGGUAUGCUUCCUGUAGCUGGUUUAUAAAUUCAUGUUAAAUAAUACAGUUUCCAAGUCUUCAAAAAGCAAAUAUCUUACCGGAGCUCGGGAUAUCAAGAAUGGCAUAACUGGAAGGUCUUUGGUUCUAGGUACAUCAGAAUUAUCCAAAAAAUAAAGUUCCCAAGCCUUCAAAAAGCAAAUAUUUUAAAGCCAAUGCAAUCCCUUGUAUGCCUAUCCAACCAGAAUUAAUGGCAGUAAUAGAAAUCAGAUCUAUAUGGAAGAGUUUCAUGCAACCUUAAGUCAUACCUGAAAUCGUCGUCCAGCAUCACCGGAACCCUAGUUCUUUUCCCGUCGGAAUUCUCAUCGAACCCUUUUUAUCCAGUGACCGUUGGUUACGUGGAUCUGACGCUGUGUUCGCCGCCGCCCUUGAGGCUUAUGGAACCGCCGCCGCCAACAAAACCUGCUUGAAGUCUUUACCCACCCCGUCUCCGGUCUCUGUUUCGACUUCAACCCUAACCAUCGUCACCGUUUCCGACUACAUCCACCACUGACGCUGCUCACCGUCGAUAACCACCACAUCCCUUAUUCGGAACCACCGCCAUCAUCACCAUAUGUUUAUAGUGUAUAUUUUGGUCCCGUAGCUUAAAGUGAUGAAAAACGAGUAAAAACGAGCAGUUUAGAAGAAAACCGGGAUUCGUACGCGCGUCGGAGAAGCUGGAAAUCGAAAUUGAAUAAAAAAAAUAAUAAAAUCAGUUCAAGGAGGCGCCGCGUGACGCGACACCCCCUUGGCGUCACGCGAGGCCUUAGUCUUCGUGAAACAGUGUUUCCCAGCUAGGGUUUUGAGGAUAAUUUUCCAAGAAACUUAAAAUAGAACUCUAAUUACGAAUUAAAAAACCCUAGGCGACUUUGGAGAGGAGAUUUUGAGUAUUUUGGAGUGCUUUAGCUCACGGGAAUCAUUCGGUUGAAGCUUGGAGCGUGAAAGUGAAGAUUGUUCGGGUUUUAUCUCCCGGUGUUCUUUAAUUUCGUGUUUUUAAUAUCUUCCGAUGAAUUCUUGUUUUGAACUUGCUUUGUUAUUUUGAACAUCAUGUUUCUUGGCUAAACCCUAGAUACUACCUAGACAAGAUGAUAGUUUGAUUAACGUUUGGAUCUUUUAACGGUUUAUUGUUUGAUUAUGGAUUGAUUUCUGAAAGUAAAGUGUUCUAG